RNAcentral lists this long non-coding RNA (2587 nucleotides) under Salmo salar (Atlantic salmon). Its description in RNAcentral is "lncRNA (ENSSSAG00000112487.1)". Lineage: Eukaryota; Metazoa; Chordata; Actinopteri; Salmoniformes; Salmonidae. The record is from RNAcentral.
CUCAGAACUGCUUGGAGAAUAAACUCCUCCAACUAUGUUGCCAGAUAGGAACCUUUAUAGACUACCUUUUUCUUUCAUUGAUUCCGCGGUGGUGAACUUACCUGAGCUUUAGGUUACCUAGCUAGUAAUAUUUUGAUGAACAAUCUUAAUAUCUGGACGUUGUUGUUGGUAUGUUGUUUGUGCUGUAGUCUGACGCAAGUCCGUGUCCCCCUCCACAAACACACGUCGUCACCAUGACAACUUGGGUAAGGAAAAACAAAAAGUACUAUCUGGAGUUGUUGGGACGCUCCAACACCAUUGAAUUUGAAAUGUAGGUAAGGGUUAGGGGUUAAGGUUAGGGUUUUAGCAAAGAUGUUUAUUGUUAUAUCUGUGGUUUUAGGGUUGGGACCUUCCAAGGAUCACGGAUUGCAGGAUCCGUGUGAAAAGCCCAUGUGUAAUAACUUCAAAAUAAAAGUCCCCCACGAUAUGUCUCAUUUACUGAGACCCAGCAACUCAUUUUUGUCCCCACUAAUGGACAUUAGUUCUUGGUCCGUAUCAUUGACGUCAUACAUUUUACUUUCUCUUACUGGUUCUUCGAAUUAGCUGACAAUCACAAUUACCACAUUUUAUGGUUCCCCUCUGGAUAUUUUUUUUUAAUGUACAAAUAAACACUUAAUUAUGUGUCUUACAACCCAUCAUUAAAAUUGUAGUCUUGCAUUUGUUCAACAUAAAAAGGACACAACUUGAUGCACAACAUAUACCAGUAUAUGCACAAGCAUUUCACUACACUCGCAUUAACAUCUGCUAACCAUGUGUAUGUGACCAAUACAAUUUGAGAUAUAAGUCAAGACAACUACUGCUUUGGUUCAGUGAUAGUAUAGGCCUGCAACUGGGUUAGCAGAACAGCUUUUUAAAAUCUGAUGGUCCUUCAACAUGGAAUCAAUUUUAAAAAGAUAUGAAAUUGCAGAAACGUCUUCCAUUGAAUUAACGUAAAACAAAAAGGCAAGAAUGCAAUAUUGAAAUAGCCACUGGUUCUGGUGUUGGAGAGGCCACAAUGCAUUGAAAUAGUCCCUGGUUUUGUUCAAGGCGGAGGAGACCUAGAGCCGGUAGGCAGAGCGCUAGUGCACUGGAGGUCACAGAUGGUGAGCAGGUGGAUGAUGGGCACAGGGGGCCACUGAUGUUGACUUGCUUUUUUGUGUGUAGUACUCCCAAUGUCCAUGUGUUAUUCCACACACUGAGACAUUCAAUGGGGUGCCUUCCUCUUCCAGCUGCAUGUGCCAUGUCCAUGCUCUCCUACGGAGCUCUCUGUGGGGCGUGCCCGUCCCCGGUAAAACUUUGCUGUUGGUCCAGGGUUGGUUAUGCCAAAGUUUGGUAGUGCGGCUAUGAGUUCACUGUCUGUUUUCAUCUUCUUUAAGCUGGAAACGAAGGAUGCUACUGCAGGCCUGAAACUCACAGGAUCCUCCCUCAUCCUCUUUUUGAGGUCUUCAAAGAUGUCCAUCCACUCUUCCUCUAACGUCACCCCCUCAGCUAGUUUUCCAGAUGUACCUUGGAGAGCAUUACAACCAUAGUAUUACAACCACCAUUCAGAUUACCAAAUGAGUUAUAGGUAUACAGUCUUCAAUUGGAGCCCUUCACUUAAUAUCAGAUAUAUUGUUGUGACAUUGUAGAUUUACCUGAGCCGUUAACAUCAGAAACGGGAGCACGCUCAAUUUCAACGGUGUCCUCAGACGCAUUGCCACGGUCUAUUGUAGGAGGAGAGAACUACAACCAUCAGACAGCCAGAUUGUUAAGUCUUCUAUAUUGCCUGUCAGGGAUAAUGUUGCGAAAUUGUGAACAUUCUUCAUUGCAGUUAUCCAGAUGCUCGUUAGAAUCAUCAAUCUUCUUCUCCACAUACGAUGCAACACAUGCUUCCUUGAAAAGCUUGCGGUACAAUCUGUAAUGCACAAAUGAGGAACAUACCUAUAGCUAAUUAUUUCUGGUGAUAGCAUUUUAAAUACACUGAAUGAACCUGCAGUUCAAGUGUCAAGCUACUGACUUGUAGCAGAAUUGAAGGUCGGGGCAAAUGGAGCGAUCCACAGAGGCAUGCACAUCCACCUCAUAUUUGAUCGUUUUUAGAGCUGAUGAAGGAGAGUGGUCUAUUUCAAACAGCUUUGUCAAUUUCUCAAUGGUGUCCGCUGACAUCUCUCCUCUUCAGUCCCUCAGCACUUGUCAGACUGUGGUUGGGGUUGUUCUGUAGACAGACAUGAAAGAGGUAUCUGGGACCUACAAUAAAUGGAAUUAAAAUAAGAGAAUUUCAAGCUACUUUCUGAAAACAGGAACUUCAUAACUUUUAGGCCUACUUAAUAACUUUGUUUUGACUUGUUGUCUUAUGAUAGUGUGGGUACAUUUUUUGCAUUUAUAUUACUAAUCUUGAUUCUCUUGGUUGGGUAUGAGUGGACCUCUUCAAGAUGAGGUACUUUAUUGCACCAUAACAAUGUGUUGUUGGUACUUCUGGCUGAACUGGACCUUGUAUUAUGCUGGCAUCUUAGGUCCACCUGUAGAAAAUGUUAAUUUCAAUUCAUGUUUUUUUAACAUGGACCAAUUUACUCUUAUUAUGUUUCAUUGUAAC